RNAcentral lists this non-coding RNA (79 nucleotides) under Methylomonas methanica. Its description in RNAcentral is "c-di-GMP sequence". It matches the Rfam family "c-di-GMP-I riboswitch aptamer". Rfam says of the family: GEMM was predicted in a large-scale screen for bacterial structured RNA regulatory elements. Genes associated with GEMM are involved in a diverse array of functions, including chemotaxis regulation, signal transduction, secretion and chitin. The record is from RNAcentral. RNAcentral also lists the same sequence under 1 other name. Lineage: Bacteria; Pseudomonadati; Pseudomonadota; Gammaproteobacteria; Methylococcales; Methylococcaceae.
UUGCAACCCCGCCACAUCCGCCGCGAGACGGAGCCGGAAAGCCACGGGUCUUGGGAAGUAAGACAGCCGGGUUACCUUC